CAUGCCUGUGAUAAUUACAUUAGCCCAUUGUGUUCAGUAAUUAUAUCACAGGCAGAGGGGAGGAUUUUGCUGGAAUGAAUUGUUUGAAUUAUUGUAUAUAAAAACAUAUAUUACGUGUUUGAUUGGAUGUUCCACAAAACCUUAUGGGUGGUACUAAUGUGUAAGAAUGUGUAUAUAAGAACAAUAAAAACACAGCUCUGUCUGUUCCUG
Non-coding RNA from Pelobates cultripes (western spadefoot toad), 210 nucleotides. The record is from the annotation of a GenBank genome assembly. NCBI's taxonomy places the organism in Eukaryota, Metazoa, Chordata, Amphibia, Anura, Pelobatidae.